AAUUUGAAAUCUGGCCCCCUCGGGGUCCGAGUUGUAAUUUGUAGAGAGUGCUUCGGAGGAGACCGCGGUCUAAGUCCAUUGGAACAUGGCGUCAUAGAGGGUGAGAAUCCCGUAUGUGACUGUGGCUCGAACCCGUGUGAAGCCUCUUCGACGAGUCGAGUUGUUUGGGAAUGCAGCUCAAAAUGGGUGGUAAAUUUCAUCUAAAGCUAAAUACUGGCUGGAGACCGAUAGCGCACAAGUAGAGUGAUCGAAAGAUGAAAAGCACUUUGGAAAGAGAGUUAAAAAGUACGUGAAAUUGUUGAAAGGGAAGCGCUGGCAACCAGACCUGUCCGUAGGCGAUCAGCCGCUGUUCUCAGUGGUGCACUCGCUCUGCGAUCAGGCCAGCAUCGGUUUCGGCGGUCGGAUAAAGGCCUUGGGAAUGUAGCUUCCCCUCGGGGGAGUCUUAUAGCCCUCGGUGCAAUGCGGCCAGCCGGGACCGAGGACCGCGCUUCGGCUAGGAUGCUGGCGUAAUGGUUGUCAGCGACCC
Molecule: ribosomal RNA, 526 nt
Filed under: Melanelixia fuliginosa
Lineage: Eukaryota; Fungi; Ascomycota; Lecanoromycetes; Lecanorales; Parmeliaceae
Description: eukaryotic LSU rRNA
Rfam family: Eukaryotic large subunit ribosomal RNA
Source: RNAcentral